RNAcentral lists this unclassified non-coding RNA (152 nucleotides) under Fusarium oxysporum. RNAcentral describes it as "ITS2". The record is from RNAcentral. Lineage: Eukaryota; Fungi; Ascomycota; Sordariomycetes; Hypocreales; Nectriaceae.
UCAACCCUCAAGCACAGCUUGGUGUUGGGACUCGCGUUAAUUCGCGUUCCUCAAAUUGAUUGGCGGUCACGUCGAGCUUCCAUAGCGUAGUAGUAAAACCCUCGUUACUGGUAAUCGUCGCGGCCACGCCGUUAAACCCCAACUUCUGAAUG